AUAUAUAUGUGUGUAUAUAUAUAUGAGAUAAUGUUUACUCCUGGAGAAAAAGGGUAAUGAUAUUAAGAAGGUAUAAAUAUGGAACUUCAAAUUUACCUUUCAUUUCAUUUUUUAAAAUAUCUAAAACCAUUAUGCUAAGACCUCUAGUUGUUCAUUGUGGGUGCUAGGGGCAUUAUAAUUUGUUAAAUUAUUCUCUAUGUUUUCUCAAUUUUCAAUCUUUCUAGAUCUUUAAAAAUAGUGGGAAAGUUUUGAAAACACAUUUGCCUAUUUUUUUACUUUUUGUAGAGAUGGGGAUCUUGCUAAGUUGCCCAGGCUAGUCUCAAACUCCUGGGAUCAAGCAAUCUGCUUGUCUCAAACUCCUGGGAUCAAGCAAUCUGCUUACCUUGGCAUCCCAAAAUGCCAGGAUUACAGGCCUGAGCCACUGCACCUGACAGGCUAUUUUUUUAAUGUACUUUUUAAAAGAUUUUGCUUUUGAAGGUUCACAAACAAAGAAUUAAGUACAAAGAUGCCAAAGAAGCGAAGUCCUCCUGUAACUAUCAAAUAUCUGUUCCGUCAGUCAUUAUAUCAAAAUAAAUCAUGUGGUUCAAUCUUUCUUGUUGGGAAUUCAGAACGUUGCCUGAGAAAUCUCUCCCCACCCCGCAAAAAAGUGAUUUAUUUUAUUAAGUAAAAACUGAGCACAUGAGAGAAGACAGAAUGCGACUAGGGAAAGGAGAAGUUGCAACAUACUGACAUGUCAUCUCAAUUUUACGAGAUUCUCAAGGUUUGGAAAUGACUUAGAGACCUCAAUAUUAGUGAUUUGCAGGGAUAGACAAACUGCAGAUAAAUCUUCCUGUGUAUCGACUUAAAAAAAAACAAAACAAAACAACAACAAAAAAACCACUAGAUUUUCUAUUUGGUUCCAACGUUGACAGGUUCUUUCCUCUGUAGACCUAUGUGAAUUGAUGACAUCAGCUCAGCCCCAGAUCAGUGUCUUCUUGGGUUGUUUGGGACAGUUUUCUCUUCCACUGUCCCCUUCAGUGUGCAUUGCAUGUGACUGGCUGGUGAGAAGUCCGGGAUAUGCUUCACUCUGAACAGGUGAGCUCUUGGUGAGCUCACUCUACUCCUGUUUUUGUGCUAGAAAGGGGUUUCCAAUAAAUUAUUGAGGCUAAAGCAUCUUUCCUUUCUGAAAGGGCUGCAUGUUGGAACCAGUCCCAUAUCCAUAAUCAUAGAUAGCCUUAUGCAAGCGGCAUGAGAGUCAACAUCUAAUUGGUGCCUUGACCAGGCCUGGGGCAAAAUCCUGUUUAAAUACAAUCAAUAUUUACAAAGUAAGACGACAAGGUUUGCACAGAGCAGAACUAGGCAAGAUAUAGAUUUCCACUUACAAGUCAGCAUGCAGCUAAUAAUUCACCCCAGAUCGACCUGUUCAGAGUGAAGCAUAUCCCGGACUUCUCACCAGCCAGUCACAUGCAAUGCACACUGAAGGGGACAGUGGAAGAGAAAACUGUCCCAAACAACCCAAGAAGACACUGAUCUGGGGCUGAGCUGAUGUCAUCAAUUCACAUAGGUCUACAGAGGAAAGAACCUGUCAACGUUGGAACCAAAUAGAAAAUCUAGUGGUUUUUUUGUUGUUGUUUUGUUUUGUUUUUUUUUAAGUCGAUACACAGGAAGAUUUAUCUGCAGUUUGUCUAUCCCUGCAAAUCACUAAUAUUGAGGUCUCUAAGUCAUUUCCAAACCUUGAGAAUCUCGUAAAAUUGAGAUGACAUGUCAGAAGCCCUGUGCCAUCUGUGUCGUGGCCUAAGAUUUAGGAGAUCUGAAUUUCAGUCCCAGCUGUGAUACUAAUAAGGGAAUAUUCCCUCAGCUGAGACCUCUGGGACUCAGUCUUCCCAUGAGUGGAAUGGGAUAAUAAUACGCACUCAGAUUUCACUACUGUGGUUUCAGGACCAUUUAUUCAAUAUAUUAAUAUUAAAGGGCUUUUAAAUAAUCUGAAGCAAAUACAGUGCAACAAGUAUUUUUUUAAAAAACUAAAAAUACCAAUGAAACACGUUCUUCUUGCUUUAAAAGUCUGGAGGGUUGAAGCAAAAACAUAGACAAAAAAUGUUUUCUCAAAAAAUAAUGCUUUUAAGUAUAAGCCACCUGACUAGCCAAGUCACAGAUCUAUGAUCAAAUGCUUUUCUCAAACAAGAAAUUGGUGUGACUUGGGAAGUGAGGUUUGCACAAAAUCAAAUGGCAUCUUCUUAAACCUGGUUUUUGACAAGAGGUGAUCAUUACUGGAUAACUUUUAAAAAGUCCAAGCUGUUACAACUAAGAACAAAACUGAAACACUCACAACCAUUUUUAACUCACUAUAGAAAAAUUUAAUUGCUUAAAUAUGUAACUGGUUGAACUGUUAUAAAGAUGCUUCAUAAAUACUGGCCAAAUUAAUGAAUUUUACCAUUCAGGAAUGCACACGGAUGUAGAUAAUGAACUCAAAAUGGUCAGGGAUGUCAGAAGCUUCAAUGAAACACUAGGAUACUUUUUUUUUCUACCUGACUAUGGUCCUUACCAAAUCUAAUGCAGUGAUUAUUUCCUGAAUAUUAAUUUAUACUUGAGAUUAGAAGGCACUACACAAAAUACACACUCAAAACAGGACCAUGUUAAAUCAAUUUUGCCCCCAUCUCCAGCCUCCUCUAACUUCAUGUUUGUAUUUAGUCAACAAGAUUAGAGACUUCAUCUCUAUAGCUUGCCCCCAAAAAGAUAUAUCCAUAUCUUAUUCCCUAGAACCUGUGAAUAUUACCUCAUAUGGCAAAAGAGUGGAUAUUAUCUCCUGUGGCAAAAGAUGUAAUGAAGGAUCUCAAGAGAAGUUAUCCUGGAUUAUCGAGUGGGAUAAUCAACUUUGCAUGUAACUUUGCAUGUAACAAACUUUGCAUGUUCUCAUUCCUUUGUAGGAGCUAAAAAUUAAAAUAAUCAAACUACCAGGGAUAGUAGAAUGAUGGUUACCUGAGACUGAGAAGGGUAGUUAUGGAGUUAGGAAGGGUGUGGGGAUGGUUAAUGGGUACAACAAUAUAGCUAGAUAGAAUAAAUGAGAUCUAGUUUGUGAUAACACAACAGAGUGACUACAGUCAACAGUAAUUUAAUUGUACAUUUUGGAAUAACUAAAAGGGUAUGAUUGGAUUGUUUGUAAUACAAAGGAUAAAUGCUUGAAGCGAUGCAUACCUUACUUACUCUGAUGUGAUUAUUUGACAUUGCAUGCAUUUACACUGAUGUGAUUACUUCACAUUGUAAAAUAUCUCAUGUACCCUAUAAAUAUAGACACCUACAAUGUAACCACAAAAAAAAAAGAUUAAAGGAAAGAGGCAAAGGGAAUCAGUUUUGAGAGAGACACAUAACAGGAGGCCAUGUUACUGCAGAGGCAGGGAUUGGAGUGAUGUGGCCACAAGUCAAGGAACACCUGGAGCAACCAGAAUCUGAGAGAGACAAGAAAGGAUUCUCUCCUAGAGCCUUUGGAGGAGUGCAGUCCUGCUGACACCUUGAUAUCAGACUUCUAACCUCCAGAACCAUGAGAGAAGAAACUCCUGGUGUUUGAUAGAGCAGGAGGACUGUCAUCUCGGACAAACACUGCCACUUUAAGUUCCAGCUCCCUUUCUAGCCUCAUGCAUUUCAAGGAAAUCACUUCUUUUCUAACUAUAAGCAACCAGAAAGAGCAGACAGUAAAACACAGAUCAGACAGCUCGGGCACAGAGGGAGGUGGGGGGAAAGUCUCUUGGGUAACUACCAAACUUCACCCUCAUACAAUGGGCCCCAGUAAAACAGUGGGCCUUAAUAAGCGCAUUCCUUUCCCUUCAAGUCCACUAAGAUAGAAAAGCAAAAAGCAGACUGGAGUGAUAUGCCUGAAGCUGCAGAAAGAUGUAUGGGAACAGGCACACAACUCUCCCUCCCAUAUAAGCACAACAAAG
Molecule: long non-coding RNA, 3911 nt
Filed under: Homo sapiens (human)
Lineage: Eukaryota; Metazoa; Chordata; Mammalia; Primates; Hominidae
Description: HSALNT0341409
Source: RNAcentral